GAUGAAGAACGUAGCGAAAUGCGAUACGUAAUGUGAAUUGCAGAAUUCAGUGAAUCAUCGAGUCUUUGAACGCACAUUGCGCCCCUUGGUAUUCCGAGGGGCAUGCCUGUUCGAGCGUCAUUAUAACCCCUCAAGCUCAGCUUGGUGUUGGGGCCUGCCGCACGGGCAGCCCUUAAAAUCAGUGGCGGUGCCAUCUGGCUCUAAGCGUAGUAAUUCUUCUCGCUAUAGAGUCCCGGUGGAUGCUUGCCAUUAACCCCCAAUUUUCUAUGGUUGACCUCGGAUCAGGUAGGGAUACCCGCUGAACUUAAGCAUAUCAAUAAGCGGAGGA
This 328-nucleotide unclassified non-coding RNA is filed under the name soil metagenome. Its description in RNAcentral is "partial contains 5.8S ribosomal RNA, internal transcribed spacer 2, and large subunit ribosomal RNA". The stretch from base 1 to 120 matches the Rfam family "5.8S ribosomal RNA", at positions 35 to 154 of the family's 154-position model. The record is from RNAcentral.